This 2506-nucleotide long non-coding RNA is filed under the name Homo sapiens (human). Its description in RNAcentral is "PREDICTED lncRNA (TCONS_00151086)". Lineage: Eukaryota; Metazoa; Chordata; Mammalia; Primates; Hominidae. The record is from RNAcentral.
AGGUGGUAAAUCCUGGCCAAGGCUCCUCGAGCCAGGCCGGCUGGCAGUGCUGCAUCGUGCUGAAGGCGCUGAGGUUGCAGCGGAUGCAUUCCGGGCCAGUGAUAUGAUGUGGACAGGAAAAGUCUUUUGUUCUGGGAAAAUGGAGGACUGAAACCUCUUCAUGUCUUUUUCCCAGGCCCUGAUUUAGGAAGACCAAAACAGGGACUUCUACAGUAGCAGCUUAAUCAGCAGAUGCUGGGUGGUCGCCUCUGCACAUGGCCUGGGGGGCGGGGCGCCUUACCGCGUCACACUGGGUGGAUGGGCCUGUGUGUGGCCUCUCUCCAGCUGUGGCUGACAGUACUCACUCAGCCCAGGCUUCCAGGCCCUCCUGGGCCCUCCUAUCCACUGAAGGAAAUGGGAGAUGAGUGGGUAAUGGAAAAGCCUUUGGAGUCAGAUGUAAAUCCAUGACUUGACCACUUAUUGCUGUGAGACCCUGGACAGCUGGAUAUAGAGUUCUUGUUCUAGCAUCCGCCCUGGGAAUCCCCGGAACUGGGCCUCUUACCGACACCAUUGCCUGUAAUCCACAAACCUAGGAGGAGGUUACUUUCCAUCUAAAAAGUAAUAAUGUAAAAACCACAUGGGGGUGAAUGGUAUAGAGCCGAGAAGUGCCUGCUCCGGAGGCUGCAAGCUCGGGCUCCCGCAGCACAGCUGCUGCCCACUCUGCUGGAGGCCUCUUCUGGGUGCAUCUUCAUGAGUUACAAGAAGCACAUUACUUUGACCCCAAAGGGAACGCUACACUUCCUUAGAAAUUAAGAGUGUGUGCUACACUGCUUUACCAGAGCAAGGCCAAAAGCAGCUUCAAUUAUGGUACAACUGUGUGAAGACACAAUGCAAAACCACUCAAGAAUGCUCACUCAAAUGGAUUUUUACCAUGCGUCUACAAUGUGGAAGCAAGUCCUGAGUGAAUAUGCAACCCUGCUCCACCUAUGGGGAAGUGGGACCAGAACCAGAAACAUCAGCACACAGGGACACAGCCCUGGAAACACAACCUCUGCUUUCAAAGCAGAUUGGCCACUAAGAGUUUUUAUUACCUAUUUUCUUUGCCAUAUUGUAGUUCCCAAUUCUCAAAAAUAAAAAUGUUAAGAGAAAUAUGAAAGACGGCUAAAAAGAGAGAAGAAACAAUGAAAAAGGAGAUGGCUCAUGCCUGUAAUCCCUUUGGGAGGCCGAGGCGGGUGGAUCACGAGGUCAGGAGAUCAAGACCAUCAUGGCUAACAGGAUGAAACCCCGUCUCUACUAAAAAUACAAAAAAUUAGCCGAGCAUGGUGGCAGGAGCCUGUAGUCCCAGCUAACUGGGAGGCUGAGGCAGGAGAAUGGUGUGAACCCAGGAGGCGGAACUUGCAGUGAGUGGAGAUCGCACCACUGCACUCCAACCUGGGCGACAGAGCAAGACUCCGUCUCAAAAAGAAAAAGAAAAAGAAAAAGAAAAAGGACAGAAGGGCAAAAAAGAAACAGGUACAGGGGACAUGGAGAGGUGGUCAGGGACACGGAUAUGGGCACAAGAAAGAGGAGGGAGAGAGAGAGGAGGAAGUUCUUGGCACAGAACUAGUCCUUCUCUACCCUCGAUUUAUUCUCAAGAAAUAAGAAAGUACGUUUUGUUUUGAUAGUCACUUAAUAGCAACAUGAACUGGCAGGUAGGAGAGUGGAGUCAGUGGAAACAGCUGCCAAAGCAGGGGUCAUGGAGAAGAACCAUAGGCAGGCAACACACACACACUGUGUGUGCUCCGCAACAAAGGUGCCAUUAGUCUCAAAGCAUAGUGGAUCAGUGAGUUGGGCUUAUGAAUGUUCCCAAGUCUUUUCCACUUCUGACCACAUUUUGAGUAUGUGUUAAUCAAAUUCAUCUCCUAAAUAUUUAGUAUAAGGCUUUAUGUAAUGAGUUCUCAAAUGCAUGUUGCUGAGCCACUGACAGCAGGAAACAAGCUACCUCCCACCAGGAAACCACUAACUAGUUUAUAUGCCUGUAACACAUAUCACUGUAAUUCUGGGUCCUAACAAAAACCUUUUUCAUAAAAACGGGUACCAGUCAGGAAGACCCAAAUGCAUAUUAGGGAAGUAAUUAUCUAUUACUCUCUAGGAUACUGAUAAAGGAAGGGACUUCCAUGUCAAUUUCUAAAUAUUCAAGAGGCCUUGAAUAUCCCAAGGUGCCUGUUAGGGUCAUUAUUUUGAAACUAAAAGCAGACCUGGCCUCUUCUGAUUAAGAAAGCACACACACACACACUUUUCACUCUGACUGUUGACAAUUCAAGCCCAUGCACAGUACAUGCUUCCUUGGGAAUACCUCUCGUGUAUAUACUCUGGUAGGGCCAGGCCUAUAGGGGCAUCCUGUUGCCUUCAAUGCUGAACUUGACAGCACGAUGCACUUUGCUGAGUCGUUUCUGUUCUGCAAAUCGCCUCUUAUGCUUUUCCAAUCGGCUUAGGCCCUUUUUAAGAAUACCAGGCUAGAAGUAGUAGUUUGAUUGGAGAAUAAAAA